GUCUUUAGCCAUACCACCCUGAACACGCCCAAUCUCGUCUGAUUUCGGAAGCUAAGUAGGGUCGGGCCUGGUUAGUACUUGGAUGAGAGAAUUAGAAUAUUUUUUUUUAGUCUCAAAGAAAAUGAAAUUGAAGAGU
RNAcentral lists this ribosomal RNA (136 nucleotides) under Ochotona princeps (American pika). The record is from RNAcentral. Lineage: Eukaryota; Metazoa; Chordata; Mammalia; Lagomorpha; Ochotonidae.